UUUCAGCUAUGUAUAGAAUGCUUUAAAGUUUUACGUUCUAAAUAAUUUUUAAAUUAAUUUUUAAACCAUUUUCGCAUUACUUUUAUAACAAUUCAACAGUUUUAUUAUUAUUUUCCAUUACACUGAUACACUCAGAAUUGCGUUGAUUGGAAACCUCAGGCAGUGGAGGAACCGAUUACCCGCCCGCAUCAGGCGCAUCCUCGCAGCAGUCGAUGACUCUAAUCCGGAAAAGCUAAUGAAAAAAGCAGCAAAGGAAAAAGCAGCAAAACGCUGAAAUGAACGAAUGGCUCGCCUUUCUCAACGUAUUAAAAGACAAUGUGAACCAAAUUUGAGGUGUAGUGUUAGUAGUUUGUUAGUGAUAGUGCUACUGCUGGCUGUGGAUGUCGCUGAUGGGGUACUGCUGCUUUUCUUCUGAUUUUUGUGUCGCGGAAGAAAAAUUGGAAUACGGUCGCCGGAAUUUGAACCCAGAUCCCGAACACGUUCGUAACCUAAGGCGCUAACCACUGCGCUGCCGUCGUCCGACUCUAGUUGGUGUCGAGUGCCGCUACAGAACGAUGAGAUGCACACUCACACGAACAGAGAAAUAUCUCUCUCAUUAUGUCGCUGCUAGGCGGAUGUGUCAAAGAAGCUUUUAUGCUCGUCUGCAAUCUUCGUAACGAAAAUGGCUCGACAAUAUGUUUAGCCAACGAACUGAAACCGCUUUUACAAAACGAUUACGUAAUGACUUAAACGUGUCAUUAUAUCAUAAUAGUAUCGUAGUAUAAUAGCUGGAAAGGAACGAUACCAGAUCUUAUAAUAGAUCUCUGUGUCCAUUGAUCGAUUUGUUUGUAACUAUUGAACGUGGAAAGGAGGGAAGACAAAUAUGUCAAAUAGAUUACAAUUAAUAAUUAAAAAGACAGUUAAGCAAUCGUACACUCUGUUGUUCUUGAUAAAUAAUUGUAAGUGAAAGUUUUAAACUUGUACUCGCGGAAUGCAAACUUUUUUUCGUAAAGGAACAUUUCUAAAAGUGAAAUUAUUACCCCGUGUCGCCAAGUUUAUUUAACAAUUGUAAUAUUUUUUAAUAUAGAAUACAAUGGACUAUGCCAGAACUAAUUAAAUCAACCGUUGAUAGUUCAAUGAUCAUCGUCAGUGAUCGUUCAACUAAUUUGUAGUUGAAACUAAUUGGUUUGAGCACGUUUUAGCACACGUAAAAAUAUAGAUAUAUGUAUACAUUGUACAUGUACAUAGACAAGUAGGAAUAAUCUGCUCCAAAUCUACAAAUCCAGAAUAAGACUACUAGCCAAUACACGGAUUUAAAUGGCGACGUUUUAAUCCAAAAUAGAAAAUGCGAGUAAAAGUGUAUACCGAUAUAAUAAACUGGUUUCGUGGAGACAACAAACGAGCACCAGAUUUUCUGGCAGACAUUGGUUUAUACAAAUUGCUAUAGAUUCCUUUCGUCCCACUGAUCAUUCUUAACGUAAUUAGUAGCUGUAAAAGGUGCGCGUAAUCCUAAAAACGUAAUUAAAAAGAAAAAUACCAAACGAAAGUGAUAAUGAAGAAGUUUUUGUUUUAAUGAAGCCUUUUUGUAAAAGAUUUCGAUGGUUCGAAGUACAAGAAAAUAUUCUUCAUAAAUAUUUAAAGAAGUUGUCUAAACUUUAAUAUGUAUUUGAAUACAUGAAAUAAUAAAUAAUAAGGUAUAAUAAGAAAUAAUAAAUCAAUAGGAUCGACGUACCACGUUUCUCACACGAUACUGUAGGUUAAGGGGUUAACGUGGUUCCUAAUAACCAUAAAAGGUGCAUGUGACCUUAAGCAUGCAAUUUAGAAGAAAAACAGCAAACGAAAGUGACGAUGAAGAGGUCCUUUUUUGUAAUAGAUUUCGAUAGUUCAAAGUAAAAAAAGAGAUUCUUCUGUAUGCAGAAUUAUGUGAUUCAGCAGCCAACAAGAUAUGGGAUUCAUAAAUAUUUAAAGAAUUUAUCAAUUAAUCUUAAUCUGUAUUUGAAUAAAUGAAAUUCUACAUCGGGAAAA
Long non-coding RNA from Bombus terrestris (buff-tailed bumblebee), 2004 nucleotides. RefSeq lists it as uncharacterized. The record is from RefSeq and is a predicted model, not a curated record. NCBI's taxonomy places the organism in Eukaryota, Metazoa, Arthropoda, Insecta, Hymenoptera, Apidae. The transcript has 2 exons.